CUGAAAGCCACAAAAGGAGUUAUGAGCAGAGCCCCAGUCUCAGAGAUUCAUUAGCUAAGCGCUUAAUGAAUUUUUGAGUGCGUGUGUGUUCCGCCUUCUUCCACCCCAUUCACUCAAGGACAGCAUUCUUCAUUCCAGCACACCCGACGCUGUCCCUGAUCAGCAUCCUUUAUGAAUGGGUGAGAAUGUGGACACAGAGACAGACAUGACACGGGGAGAACACCAAGUGAAGACGAAGGCAGAGCGCGGGAGUGCUUCUACAAGCCAAAUAGCGCCGAAGAUGGCCAGCAAGCCACCAGAAGCUAGGCGAGGGGCCUGGAACAGAUUCUUCCUCACAUCCCUCAGAAGGAACCAACUCUGCUGACACCUUGAUCUCAGACUUCCAGCCCCCAGAACUGUGACACAAUAAACUUCUGUUGUGUAAGCAA
Molecule: long non-coding RNA, 428 nt
Filed under: Equus asinus (donkey)
Lineage: Eukaryota; Metazoa; Chordata; Mammalia; Perissodactyla; Equidae
Description: lncRNA (ENSEASG00005034861.1)
Source: RNAcentral